This 251-nucleotide ribosomal RNA is filed under the name uncultured Actinomadura sp. RNAcentral describes it as "partial 16S ribosomal RNA". It matches the Rfam family "Bacterial small subunit ribosomal RNA", at positions 526 to 776 of the family's 1533-position model. Lineage: Bacteria; Bacillati; Actinomycetota; Actinomycetes; Streptosporangiales; Thermomonosporaceae. The record is from RNAcentral.
CGUAGGGCGCAAGCGUUGUCCGGAAUUAUUGGGCGUAAAGAGCUCGUAGGCGGUCUGUCGCGUCGGUUGUGAAAGCCCACAGCUUAACUGUGGGUCUGCAUCCGAUACGGGCAGACUAGAGGCAGGUAGGGGAGCAUGGAAUUCCCGGUGUAGCGGUGAAAUGCGCAGAUAUCGGGAGGAACACCGGUGGCGAAGGCGGUGCUCUGGGCCUGUACUGACGCUGAGGAGCGAAAGCGUGGGGAGCGAACAGG